Molecule: transfer RNA, 37 nt
Filed under: Elymus wawawaiensis
Lineage: Eukaryota; Viridiplantae; Streptophyta; Magnoliopsida; Poales; Poaceae
Description: partial tRNA-Phe
Source: RNAcentral
UCAGAUAGCUCAGUUGUAGAGCAGAAGACUGAAAUCU